Molecule: transfer RNA, 64 nt
Filed under: Epicauta obscurocephala
Lineage: Eukaryota; Metazoa; Arthropoda; Insecta; Coleoptera; Meloidae
Description: tRNA-Phe
Source: RNAcentral
ACUUAGAUAGCUUAUACUAGAGCGUGAUAUUGAAGAUAUCAAGGAAACUUCAAGUUUUUAAGUA